CAGUAGCCACGGGAAUACGAAGGGGGCUAGCGUUGUUCGGAUUUACUGGGCGUAAAGCGCACGUAGGCGGAUCCUUAAGUCAGAGGUGAAAUCCCAAGGCUCAACCUUGGAACUGCCUUUGAUACUGGGGAUCUCGAGUCCGGGAGAGGUGAGUGGAACUGCGAGUGUAGAGGUGAAAUUCGUAGAUAUUCGCAAGAACACCAGUGGCGAAGGCGGCUCACUGGCCCGGAACUGACGCUGAGGUGCGAAAGCGUGGGGAGCAAACAGGAUUAGAUACCCGCGUAGUCCCUGUCUCUUAUAC
This 301-nucleotide ribosomal RNA is filed under the name uncultured bacterium. RNAcentral's name for it is "partial 16S ribosomal RNA". It matches the Rfam family "Bacterial small subunit ribosomal RNA", at positions 509 to 807 of the family's 1533-position model. The record is from RNAcentral.